GAAUUCGAUUCUCCUGGAAACGGGUGGUAAUGCCGGAUGCUCCACAUGAUCACAUGUGAUUGUGGGAAAGAUUUAUCGGUAUGGGAUGGGGUCGCGUCCUAUCAGGUAGUUGGUGGGGUAAUGGCCUACCAAGCCUACGACGGGUAGCCGGCCUGAGAGGGCGACCGGCCACAUAGGGACUGAGAUACGGCCCAGACUCCUACGGGAGGCAGCAGUGGGGAAUAUUGCACAAUGGGCGCAAGCCUGAUGCAGCGACGCCGCGUGCGGGAUGACGGCCUUCGGGUUGUAAACCGCUUUUGUUAGGGAGCAAGCGCAAGUGAGUGUACCUUUCGAAUAAGCACCGGCUAACUACGUGCCAGCAGCCGCGGUAAUACGUAGGGUGCAAGCGUUAUCCGGAAUUAUUGGGCGUAAAGAGCUCGUAGGCGGUUUGUCGCGUCUGGUGUGAAAGUCCAUCGCUUAACGGUGGAUCUGCGCCGGGUACGGGCAGGCUAGAGUGUGGUAGGGGAGACUGGAAUUCCCGGUGUAACGGUGGAAUGUGUAGAUAUCGGGAAGAACACCAAUCACUAGUG
RNAcentral lists this ribosomal RNA (569 nucleotides) under uncultured Bifidobacterium sp. Its description in RNAcentral is "bacterial SSU rRNA". It matches the Rfam family "Bacterial small subunit ribosomal RNA", at positions 134 to 721 of the family's 1533-position model. The record is from RNAcentral. Lineage: Bacteria; Bacillati; Actinomycetota; Actinomycetes; Bifidobacteriales; Bifidobacteriaceae.